RNAcentral lists this unclassified non-coding RNA (420 nucleotides) under fungal sp. RNAcentral describes it as "partial internal transcribed spacer region". The stretch from base 1 to 46 matches the Rfam family "Eukaryotic small subunit ribosomal RNA", at positions 1786 to 1831 of the family's 1831-position model. Lineage: Eukaryota; Fungi. RNAcentral also lists the same sequence under 1 other name. The record is from RNAcentral.
AAGUCGUAACAAGGUCUCCGUAGGUGAACCUGCGGAGGGAUCAUUAACACGUAUCCAAACGUAUCAAACCCAAACCGGUCUCAUAUCUCUCCCAUAGCGGUCAAUGGUGAUUCGCAAGCCAUAGGUGAAUUCUCCGUUUUGGUAAAACGAAGUGGAGACUGCUUGCAAUCUACAAUCCUUGAGGUUAAACUGUUCUGCUAUGGUGUAAACCCAAAGUCACCUGGCUAUUAGGCCACCCCUGUAAGUUGGGGGUUGGGGCUUGCCCCUCCCUCAAUGAACCAGGAGCCUCUUAGCCUUAUUGAUCCUUUUUAACCCCUUUUUUACAUAAUUACUACUGAACUUACUUCUCUAUGGACUUCGUGUCUAUAUUGAUGUAUACGAAAUUGUGAACAACUCUUAGCAACGGAUAUCUUGGUUCUC